AUAAAUGUCUACAAUAUCAUUAUUUAAAAUCCACACUUUCAGGAAAACAUUUUUAAUGAAGUAAUCCAAAGUAGGGAUAUAGGCAAGAAAGUAAUUCUGUAUUUCCAAUCAGAAAGAUAUAUAUACACAUGGAUAUGUCACAGGCAAAAUAUUCAGAUUUUUACUGUUAACGCUGCUUUCUGCUAGGGUGACCUUGGUAUUUUCCAGCCUGCUCCCCAGAAUAUGAUGUAGAAGUUAGCAAGUUAAUCUAUUUAUAUACCAAAAAAUAUGUCUUUUACAGGAAUUACAUGAAGUUCUGUUUGAAGUUGUGAAUGGUGCCAGCGCCACACCUGUCUGCAGUAAGAACUAUACAAGUGAUGCCCAGAACGACUUCUCCACUUGGCGUAUCACUGCCGUGUUGCCCGCUGUGCUCCGACCCUUCCUCCCCGCAGUAGAGGCCUGCUGCUGCCGCCUGCUUGCUGACACGGAACUUCCUUGCCGUCGCAGCUGCCUCAUUUUCAGUGCCAGCUGACCCACCGUCUGGACAUAGGACUUUCAGGAUUCAUUUAUUUAUUCGAGUCCAAGUCCCUGCUAAUG
Molecule: long non-coding RNA, 576 nt
Filed under: Oryctolagus cuniculus (rabbit)
Lineage: Eukaryota; Metazoa; Chordata; Mammalia; Lagomorpha; Leporidae
Description: lncRNA (ENSOCUG00000036748.1)
Source: RNAcentral